RNAcentral lists this ribosomal RNA (462 nucleotides) under Staphylococcus aureus. RNAcentral describes it as "bacterial SSU rRNA". It matches the Rfam family "Bacterial small subunit ribosomal RNA", at positions 28 to 472 of the family's 1533-position model. The record is from RNAcentral. Lineage: Bacteria; Bacillati; Bacillota; Bacilli; Caryophanales; Staphylococcaceae.
GAUGAACGCUGGCGGCGUGCCUAAUACAUGCAAGUCGAGCGAACGGACGAGAAGCUUGCUUCUCUGAUGUUAGCGGCGGACGGGUGAGUAACACGUGGAUAACCUACCUAUAAGACUGGGAUAACUUCGGGAAACCGGAGCUAAUACCGGAUAAUAUUUUGAACCGCAUGGUUCAAAAGUGAAAGACGGUCUUGCUGUCACUUAUAGAUGGAUCCGCGCUGCAUUAGCUAGUUGGUAAGGUAACGGCUUACCAAGGCAACGAUGCAUAGCCGACCUGAGAGGGUGAUCGGCCACACUGGAACUGAGACACGGUCCAGACUCCUACGGGAGGCAGCAGUAGGGAAUCUUCCGCAAUGGGCGAAAGCCUGACGGAGCAACGCCGCGUGAGUGAUGAAGGUCUUCGGAUCGUAAAACUCUGUUAUUAGGGAAGAACAUAUGUGUAAGUAACUGUGCACAUCUUGA